UUAAAAAAAAAAAUUAUUGGGCGCCUGGGUGGCUCUGUUGGUUAAGCAACUGCUUUCGGCUCAGGUCAUGAUCCUGGAGUCCCGGGAUCGAGUUCCGCAUCGGGCUCCCUGCUCUGCGAGGAGCCUGCUUCUCCCUCUGACCCUCCCCCCUCUCAUGUACUCUCUCUCAUUCUCGCUCUCUCAAAUAAAUAAAUAAAUCUUUUAAAAAAAAAUUAUCUCAAGGCACAACAAUCAUAAAACUUUUGAUUGCUUAGAUUAAAUCUUAUAAGUUCCCAGAGAGAGAGAGACAUCCAGUCAUCUAUAAAGAGUUUGGAGUCAGAAUGCUUUCAGAAUGUAUAAUCCCCCCUGGAUACCAACAGACAGUGCAGCGCACCUUCAUAAAGCUCAGGGAGAAUAAUGAUCAAACUAAAUUAGAUACUUUUGAUUGUAAACGUUAGCACAUUAUACUUCCUGAGGUGCACCUCAAUUUUUGAGUUACUAGGAUAACUUGGAGACUGUUUGACGUCAGUUCACAUAGACCUGCUUCAGUUAGAGGCAGCAUAGUGUGGUGGUUAAGAGCUCAGACCCUGGAGCUAGUUUGUCAGUUCAAAUUCCAACUCUGGGGCUUACUAACCAUGUGAUACUGGGCAUAUCAGUUAGCCUCUGGACUCCCAUGUUUUCAUCUGUUAAGGGUAAUGAAUUGUUAUAGGAUUUACUUCAUUGGGAGUUUAUGUGUCUAGAGUGAAUCAGUGUGUCAGCCUAAAGUCAGCUGAUUGUCAAUGUUAACCACAUCUCCAAAAAGACCUUUACAGCAACAUUUAGAUUAGUAUUUGAUUAAAUAACUGGGUGCUAUAGCCUAGCCAAGUUGGUACAGAAUACUAACCAUUACAGUCAACCCCUUAUAAACUCAGCACCCAUACACAUCUCCUUAAAUCAUACUUAAUCUCCAAAUAAAUAACAAAGUCAUACUUCUAUUUAACACGAUACAACUCUUCUGCGUGUGUACUAAAAAAAAGAAAAAAGAAAAACAAAACAACUAACCCUUUAGCCAAAAGAAGAUGUCAAGUCCUUGGGUGAUGUUUACUCUUCUCAUCGAUGUCCUGUAACAAAGAUCACAAACACACACACCCAGUCAUAACGAAAUGUAGUUGUUCAUGAUAACUACAGCCCUUGUUUCUGCAACUGGUCAUUUGAUUGUGGCUGAUUUCUUCCUCCGUCCCCACCUCCUGCUUCCUUCCUUCCCUCCUUCCUAUGUUGUGGUAAGAACACUUAAUAUGAGAUCUUUCCCCUCAAAUUUUUAGGUGCACAAUACAGUAUUGUUAACUAUAGUCACAAUGUUGUACAGCAGAUCUCUAGAACUUUCCAUCUUACAUGACAGAAACUCUUCUCCCACUGAAUAGCAACUCCUUAUUUCCUCUUCCCCCGAGGCUCUGGCAAAGACCAUUCUACUCUCUGUUUCUGUUGGCGUGCUCUCCCAGGGCUGCACACUCUCCUAGCAGCUGUGUGCACUGCAGUGAAGGUCAGUGAUGAGGGUUAGGCCAGGGGUACAUGGUGGUGUAGACUGGUGACAAGACAGGGCCUGAUAUGGGUCGACAAGCAGCUGCAGCAUGUCAGCAUGUGCCCCCAUGGGUUCAUGCUGUGCUGAGGGAGAAGGAGGGGGAGAGUUCUAAAGAUUGCGAAGGGACAGGGCGCCUGGGUGGCUCAGUUGGUUAAGCGACUGCCUUCGGCUCAGGUCAUGACCCUGGAGUCCCGGGAUCGAGUCCCGCGUCGGGCUCCCUGCUCAGCAGGGGAUCUGCUUCUCCCUCUGCCCUCUUCCCUCUCGUGCUCUCUGUCUCUCAUUCUCUCUCUCUCAAAUAAAUAAAUAAAAUCUUUAAAAAAUAAAUAAAUAAAAGGGCGCCUGGGUGGCUCAGUUGGUUAAGCGACUGCCUUCGGCUCAGGUCAUGAUCCUGGAGUCCCGGGAUCGAGUCCCGCAUCGGGCUCCCUGCUCGGCGAGGAGCCUGCUUCUCCCUCUGACCCUCCCCCCUCUCAUGUGCUCUCUGUCUCUCUCAUUCUCUCUGUCUCAAAUAAAUAAAUACAUAAAUAAAUAAUCUAAAAAUAAAAAAAAAAUAAAGAUCGCGCAGGGACAGACUUCUCUGAACUCCCCUUUGUAUUUACCCACUGUGAAAUUGUCAACUCAGUAACUAUUUAAACAAGUUUUUUAGUGUCAUGGUGAGACUGCAAGAUACAUCAUAUUUACUCAACAGGUGUUUGUAAAAUGUAAUUUAGUUGAAAUACUUUCCAUUGUAGAGUUCAUAAGUCAUAUAGUUUGACUCCUGAACAAUGCAGGGGCAAGCGGGGGACAACCCCUGUGUAGCCAAAAAUCCACAUAUAACUUGACUGUGAGCGUAAGACACACAGCUCUCAGAAUGCUGACAACUCACUUCAUUCUAUACAUAUUUUGUUGAAAACAUCUAGAAUUUUAGCCCCCUUUUUAAAAUGAAAACCAACUUAAUUUCUUUAAGCUUUACUACCAUAUUAUCAAUUAUAUAGACUCAAAAAGCUUUACUUCCAUCCAGGCCGGAACUCAGGAUGGCUGUGUUCUUGUUAAGAUAUGUUGGCCAUCAUUGCCUCCGUGCCCACCUUAAUCCUCAGCUCUGAGUCAGAAAUGCUAUCCCUUUGGGAACUACAGCCAAAGAAGAGAUGGAGAGGUUCAGGAAUAAGAAUACUGUUUAAGCCAUCCUCUGUCUCCCCAUAUCACUAUCUACAGUUGGUCUCUUCCCAUAGUGAUGUCUGUUUGCCACCAGGUUACUGGUGUGCCUUGGGUGUAGGGGUCUCUUUUUGGCUUGUCAGCCCUGUUGGUCCCUGGGAACUUUGAGAUUCAUUCGGAACAUGUGAAGUUCCUGUGUCUGGGGCCAUCACUGAUCUACACAGCCAAGUUUGCACUUCUCUGCCCUCUCAUGUAUCCUAUCUGGAAUGGAAUCUGACACUUGAUGUGGGACCUAGGGAAAGGCCUGAAGAUUCCCCAGCUGUACCAGUCUGGAGUGGCUGUCUUAGUUCUUACUGUGUUGUCCUCUGUAGGGCUGGCAGCCGUGUGAAGAGCUGAAGUUCCUAGCAUUGUCUUCCUACAAACGAUUCACUGACCUAUCUUCCUGUUUGUUACGCUCUUCUCCAGCCAGGAUAGAGUUCUCCUGAUUUAUUAAUUGUUUGUGUUUGCAUAUCCCCUUGGAGCUCAGUAGUAGUAAAGGACCUUAGAGAACCAUAGCAAUAGAAAAUGGUCCAGUUUCCCCUUUGUUCUAAAGAUGGAAUGGGGGCGCCUGGGUGGCUCAGUUGGUUGGGCGGCUGCCUUCGGCUCAGGUCAUGAUCCUGGAGUCCCGGGAUCGAGUCCCGCAUUGGGCUCCCUGCUCGGCAGGGAGUCUGCUUCUCCCUCUGACCCUCCCCCCUCUCAUGUUCUCUGUCUCUCAUUCUCUCUGUCUCAAAUAAAUAAAUAAAAUCUUUUAAAAAAAUAAAUAAAUAAAUAAAGAUGGAAUGACUCAAAACUUCCCUUUUCCUGCCCUCAGCUUGCAGCCUACUCUGGGCAUAGGAGCCUUCAUUCUCUCUCCAUACUGGGGCUUCAUUUGUGCCGACAGUCAGCUUCUGGCUCCUUCUUUCUGAGACAGCAGAAACAAUGAUGGCUCUGUGGCCUCUGCCGUGGGGACUGGGAGUGGGGCUCCCAAAUUGUUUCUUGUGGUUGACUCCAAGUUUCAUAAGAUUGUGGUCCAAAAAUGUGCAUGGUAUGACCUCAGUCUUUUUGUACUGGUUGAGGCCUGAUUUGUGACCCAGUGUGUGAUCUGUUCUGGAGAAUGUUCCAUGUGCACUAAAAAAGAAUGUGUAUUCUGCUGCUUUAGGAUGAAAUGCUCUGAACAUAUCUGGUAAGUCUGUCUGGUCCAGUGUGUCAUUCAAAGCCCUUGUUUCCUUGUUGAUCUACUUAGAUGAUCGGCCCAUUGUAGUGAAGGGGGUGUUAAAGUCCCCUACUAUUAUUGUAUUAUUAUCUGUGAGUUUCUUUAGGUUGGUAGUAAUUGUUUUAUAUAUUUGGUUGCUCUCAAGUUGGGGGCAUAAUUCCACAUAACAGUCAGAUCAUAUGAUUCUUUCUCUGAUUGAAUUAUUUCACUUAGCAUCAUACCCUCUAGUUCCAUCCACGUCAUUGCAAAUGGCAAGAUUUCAUUUUUUGAUGGCUGCGUAAUAUUCCAUUGUGUUUGUGUGUGUGUGUGUGUGUGUGUGUACACACCAUAUCUUCUUUGGAUAAAGUAUUCUUGACUACAUAUUUUUCCCAUUUAGCACAUUGAAUAUAUCAUGCCACUUUUUUCUGACCUUCCAAGUUUCUAUGGAUAGAUCUGCUGCUAACCUUAUGUAUCUACUAUCCUUAUAGGUUAAGGACCUUUUGUCCCUAGCUGCUUUCAGAAUUCUCUUUAUCUUUGUAUUUUGCAAGUUUCA
This is an RNA transcript of Mirounga angustirostris (Northern elephant seal), 4428 nucleotides long. It is a transcript of the gene named succinate dehydrogenase cytochrome b560 subunit, mitochondrial-like, with no coding region annotated. The transcript has a single exon. The record is from RefSeq and is a predicted model, not a curated record. Lineage: Eukaryota; Metazoa; Chordata; Mammalia; Carnivora; Phocidae.